UACGUAGGGGGCAAGCGUUGUCCGGAUUUAUUGGGCGUAAAGAGCGUGUAGGCGGCCAUGCAGGUCCGUUGUGAAAACUCGAGGCUCAACCUCGAGACGUCGAUGGAAACCGCACGGCUAGAGUCCGGAAGAGGAGAGUGGAAUUCCUGGUGUAGCGGUGAAAUGCGCAGAUAUCAGGAAGAACACCCGUGGCGAAGGCGGCUCUCUGGGACGGUACUGACGCUGAGACGCGAAAGCGUGGGGAGCGAACAGG
This 253-nucleotide ribosomal RNA is filed under the name uncultured bacterium. RNAcentral's name for it is "partial 16S ribosomal RNA". It matches the Rfam family "Bacterial small subunit ribosomal RNA", at positions 524 to 776 of the family's 1533-position model. The record is from RNAcentral.